AUACGUAGGGGGCGAGCGUUGUCCGGAAUGAUUGGGCGUAAAGGGCGCGUAGGCGGCCCGGUAAGUCUGGAGUGAAAGUCCUGUUUUUAAGAUGGGAAUUGCUUUGGAUACUGUCGGGCUUGAGUGCAGGAGAGGUAAGUGGAAUUCCCAGUGUAGCGGUGAAAUGCUUAGAGAUUACACAGAACACCGAUUGCGAAGGCAUCUCACGAAGGGUUGAUUGACGCUGAGGCACGAAAGCGUGGGGAUCAAACAGGAUUAGAUACCCUGGUAGUCCACGCAGUAAACGAUGAUGGCUAACCGCUGGGCUUAUCAGUUCAGUGGCCAAGCGAAAGCGAUAAGCCAUCCACCUGGGGAGUACGACCGCAAGGUUGAAACUCAAAGGAAUUGACGGGG
Molecule: ribosomal RNA, 393 nt
Filed under: uncultured bacterium
Lineage: Bacteria
Description: partial 16S ribosomal RNA
Rfam family: Bacterial small subunit ribosomal RNA
Source: RNAcentral